UUUUAAGACCAUGCCGAAGACAGCAGGCGCCACAAGGCGUAAGCGCGUAAGCCACCUGCCGAGGAAAGAGUUUACAUGAAAUGUAUUUUCUGCCCUUUCGUUUUCGGAAGGGCUUUUAUAAU
This 122-nucleotide small RNA is filed under the name human gut metagenome. RNAcentral's name for it is "Ribosomal protein L10 leader". It matches the Rfam family "Ribosomal protein L10 leader". Rfam says of the family: This family is a putative r-protein leader autoregulatory structure found in B. subtilis and other low-GC Gram-positive bacteria. It is located in the 5' untranslated regions of mRNAs encoding ribosomal proteins L10 and L12 (rplJ-rplL). A Rho-independent transcription terminator structure that is probably involved in regulation is included at the 3' end. The record is from RNAcentral.